Molecule: ribosomal RNA, 431 nt
Filed under: uncultured bacterium
Lineage: Bacteria
Description: bacterial SSU rRNA
Rfam family: Bacterial small subunit ribosomal RNA
Source: RNAcentral
UUACGGUAGUGGAAGUUAGAACUAGUGGCGGACGGGUGAGUAACGCGUGGGUAACCUGCCUCAUACAGGGGGAUAACAGUUAGAAAUGACUGCUAACACCGCAUAAUAUAGCGAAACCGCAUGAUUUUGCUAUCAAAUAUUUAUAGGUAUGAGAUGGGCCCGCGUCUGAUUAGCUAGUUGGUGGGGUAAAGACCUACCAAGGCGACGAUCAGUAGCCGGCUUGAGAGAGUGACCGGCCACAUUGGGACUGAGACACGGCCCAAACUCCUACGGGAGGCAGCAGUGGGGAAUAUUGGACAAUGGGGGAAACCCUGAUCCAGCGAACCGCCGCGUGAGUGAAGAAGUAUUUCGGUAUGUAAAGCUCUAUCAGCAGGGAAGAUAAUGACAGUACCUGACUAAGAAGCCCCGGCUAACUACGUGCCAGCAGCCGC